CCCUUGGAAGCAGGUCUGGAGC
Molecule: microRNA, 22 nt
Filed under: Equus caballus (horse)
Lineage: Eukaryota; Metazoa; Chordata; Mammalia; Perissodactyla; Equidae
Description: eca-miR-9099
Source: miRBase by way of RNAcentral